Molecule: long non-coding RNA, 386 nt
Organism: Cyphomyrmex costatus
Lineage: Eukaryota; Metazoa; Arthropoda; Insecta; Hymenoptera; Formicidae
Exons: 3
Source: RefSeq, a predicted model, not a curated record
UUAUAAUGUUCCUCACUCACUUCAAUUCACUGAGAAAUCUACAAAUUAUACAAAUGAAAUAUUAGAUAAUAUAAAGAUUAAAGUGGAACCACAUACUGAAGAUUUGCCAAAGACAUAUGAGGAAACAAGAAUUAACACUUGUGUGCAAAGUACAAGUGUCCCGGUAAAUUCGACGAACGUUGCCAACGCAUCCGAAAAGUCAUCUUUCGAUGUUACCGAACUAACUGAACCUUUACAUAAGAAACGGGAAAACUUUUCUAGCAAUGAUCAAACAACUAACAAUAUAAUAUCUAAUAACACUGAAUUUAAAAGAAGAGAAAACAUAUUAAAAUUGAAAAUUCUUCGCGCUCAGCUUAUUAGAGAAGAAGAGGAGAACAAAAUUAGAA